RNAcentral lists this ribosomal RNA (253 nucleotides) under uncultured bacterium. RNAcentral's name for it is "partial 16S ribosomal RNA". It matches the Rfam family "Bacterial small subunit ribosomal RNA", at positions 524 to 776 of the family's 1533-position model. The record is from RNAcentral.
UACGUAGGGGGCAAGCGUUGUCCGGAAUCAUUGGGCGUAAAGCGCGUGUAGGCGGUUACAUAAGUCUGUUGUGAAAGUCGGGGGCUCAACCCUCGAAUGCCGGUGGAUACUGUCGGGCUAGAGUGCGGAAGAGGCGAGUGGAAUUCCUGGUGUAGCGGUGAAAUGCGCAGAUAUCAGGAGGAACACCUAUUGCGAAGGCAGCUCGCUGGGACGUUACUGACGCUGAGACGCGAAAGCGUGGGGAGCAAACAGG